This 402-nucleotide ribosomal RNA is filed under the name uncultured bacterium. RNAcentral's name for it is "bacterial SSU rRNA". It matches the Rfam family "Bacterial small subunit ribosomal RNA", at positions 355 to 750 of the family's 1533-position model. The record is from RNAcentral.
UGGGGAAUUUUGGACAAUGGGCGCAAGCCUGAUCCAGCCAUGCCGCGUGCAGGAUGAAGGCCUUCGGGUUGUAAACUGCUUUUGUACGGAACGAAAAGCCCCCUUCUAAUAAAGGGGGUGAUGACGGUACCGUAAGAAUAAGCACCGGCUAACUACGUGCCAGCAGCCGCGGUAAUACGUAGGGUGCAAGCGUUAAUCGGAAUUACUGGGCGUAAAGCGUGCGCAGGCGGUUAUGUAAGACAGAGGUGAAAUCCCCGGGCUCAACCUGGGAACUGCCUUUGUGACUGCAUAGCUUGAGUGCGGCAGAGGGGGAUGGAAUUCCGCGUGUAGCAGUGAAAUGCGUAGAUAUGCGGAGGAACACCGAUGGCGAAGGCAAUCCCCUGGGCCUGCACUGACGCUCAU